RNAcentral lists this long non-coding RNA (559 nucleotides) under Cicer arietinum (chickpea). Its description in RNAcentral is "long non-coding RNA (CARI_LNC003591)". Lineage: Eukaryota; Viridiplantae; Streptophyta; Magnoliopsida; Fabales; Fabaceae. The record is from RNAcentral.
UUUAAAAGAUCGAUGCUUUGGCUACAUAAUAUAUAUGUCUAGCUAUUAAACAACUUAAAAGAUCGAUAGAUUGAAGGAUGACUGUUGUCCUAUCACCUUCGUGUCUGCUUUGGAUUACUUGUGGGUGCUAAAAAUGAGUUGAUUUUCAAUAUUGUUUUUAUCCUGAUUGAAGUAAUGAAUUGUGGACUAUUCUCAAGUUUGAAGGUCUCACACAUUGACACAGAGAGGGCCAGCAUAUGCAUAAUGCAUGCACAGUUAUGUAAUUGACCAAUCUUUGACUCCAUACUAAAUACUCAAUUCAAUUUACUAAGCUAUGAAUGAGCUGGGGAUCCUGACGGAUCAAACUACCCAUGUGACUCUCAUUUUGUUUUUCAAUUUCUUAACAAUUCUAAACCAUAUAAUGUCAAUUAAUUUUAUAAAAUUCACUUAGUUUAAUAUAAAUUUAUAAACUAGUUAAUUUAGUGAGUUAGAAUUUAAAUUCUUUUUAAAAGAGAUAUUUAUAUUAGUGUUUCAUGAUUUUCGAAUAAGAUUAUUUAUGAUUAAAGAAAUUUUAGUAACA